AAAGACCAGAGAAGCAUUGUGUACUCUACUCUACCUACUAGUAUACUUUUAUCGUCUUCUACCUGAGAGUUGAGAGUCCAGUCCAGUCCACCGUACCGUGCCAUCGUGCUGCCACGGCAAGUCUAGACUCUAGUUGGAGCACUACAGACAUCUUGGACUUGGAGGUCAAUUCGAAAGCAGCAGGGCAGCUUCUACAUGCCACCAAUGCAUGCA
Molecule: long non-coding RNA, 213 nt
Filed under: Hordeum vulgare
Lineage: Eukaryota; Viridiplantae; Streptophyta; Magnoliopsida; Poales; Poaceae
Description: long non-coding RNA (HVUL_LNC014250)
Source: RNAcentral